GUAGUCAUAUGCUUGUCUCAAAGAUUAAGCCAUGCAUGUCUCAGUACAAGCCAAAUUAAGGUGAAACCGCGAAAGGCUCAUUAAAUCAGUUAUGGUUCCUUAGAUCGUACCCACAAUUACUUGGAUAACUGUGGUAAUUCUAGAGCUAAUACAUGCAAACAGAGCUCCGACCGGAGACGGAAGGAGUGCUUUUAUUAGAUCAAAACCAAUCGGUGGCGAGUUCGCUCGUCAUCGUACAACUUGGUGACUCUGAAUAACUUUACGCUGAUCGCACGGUCUCGCACCGGCGACGCAUCUUUCAAAUGUCUGCCUUAUCAACUGUCGAUGGUAGGUUCUGCGCCUACCAUGGUUGUAACGGGUAACGGGGAAUCAGGGUUCGAUUCCGGAGAGGGAGCCUGAGAAACGGCUACCACAUCCAAGGAAGGCAGCAGGCGCGCAAAUUACCCACUCCCGGCACGGGGAGGUAGUGACGAAAAAUAACGAUACGGGACUCAUCCGAGGCCCCGUAAUCGGAAUGAGUACACUCUAAACCCUUUAACGAGGAUCAAUUGGAGGGCAAGUCUGGUGCCAGCAGCCGCGGUAAUUCCAGCUCCAAUAGCGUAUAUUAAAGU
RNAcentral lists this ribosomal RNA (611 nucleotides) under Gymnopholus subnacreus. RNAcentral's name for it is "SSU rRNA". It matches the Rfam family "Eukaryotic small subunit ribosomal RNA", at positions 20 to 610 of the family's 1831-position model. Lineage: Eukaryota; Metazoa; Arthropoda; Insecta; Coleoptera; Curculionidae. The record is from RNAcentral.